CCUACGGGCGGCAGCAGUGAGGAAUAUUGGUCAAUGGGCGCGAGCCUGAACCAGCCAAGUCGCGUGAGGGAAGACGGCUUUCGGGUUGUAAACUUCUUUUCUCCGGGACGAAGAACGUGACGGUACCUGCGGAAUAAGCCGCGGCCAACUACGUGCCAGCAGCCGCGGUCAUACGUAGGUGGCAAGCGUUAUCCGGAUUUAUUGGGUGUAAAGGGCGUGUAGGGGGGAGCGCAAGUCAGAUGUGAAAACUCAGGGCUCAACCCUGGGCCUGCAGUUGAAACUGUCCGGCUGGAGUGCCGGAGAGGUAAGCGGAAUGCCUAGUGUAGCGGUGAAAUGCGUAGAUAUGAGGAGGAACACCAGUGGCGAAGGCGGCUUACUGGACUGUAACUGACACUGAGGCACGAAAGCGUGGGGAGCAAACAGGAUUAGAUACCCGAGUAGUC
Molecule: ribosomal RNA, 443 nt
Filed under: uncultured bacterium
Lineage: Bacteria
Description: partial 16S ribosomal RNA
Rfam family: Bacterial small subunit ribosomal RNA
Source: RNAcentral